AUUGAACGCUGGCGGCAGGCCUAACACAUGCAAGUCGAACGGUAGCACAGGAGAGCUUGCUCUCUGGGUGACGAGUGGCGGACGGGUGAGUGACACGUGGGCAACCUGCCUCAUAGAGGGGAAUAGCCUUCCGAAAGGAAGAUUAAUACCGCAUAAGAUUGUAGUACCGCAUGGUAUAGCAAUUAAAGGAGCAAUCCGCUAUGAGAUGGGCCCGCGGCGCAUUAGCUAGUUGGUGAGGUAACGGCUCACCAAGGCGACGAUGCGUAGCCGACCUGAGAGGGUGAUCGGCCACAUUGGGACUGAGACACGGCCCAGACUCCUACGGGAGGCAGCAGUGGGGAAUAUUGCACAAUGGGGGAAACCCUGAUGCAGCAAUGCCGCGUGAGUGAUGACGGCCUUCGGGUUGUAAAGCUCUGUCUUCGGGGACGAUAAUGACGGUACCCGAGGAGGAAGCCACGGCUAACUACGUGCCAGCCGCCGCCGUAA
Molecule: ribosomal RNA, 486 nt
Filed under: uncultured bacterium
Lineage: Bacteria
Description: partial 16S ribosomal RNA
Rfam family: Bacterial small subunit ribosomal RNA
Source: RNAcentral